This 253-nucleotide ribosomal RNA is filed under the name uncultured bacterium. RNAcentral describes it as "partial 16S ribosomal RNA". It matches the Rfam family "Bacterial small subunit ribosomal RNA", at positions 524 to 776 of the family's 1533-position model. The record is from RNAcentral.
UACGGAGGGUGCAAGCGUUAUCCGGAUUUACUGGGCUUAAAGGGUGCGUAGGUGGGUAGGUAAGUCAGUGGUGAAAUCUUCGAGCUUAACUCGGAAACUGCCAUUGAUACUAUUUAUCUUGAAUACUUUGGAGGUAAGCGGAAUAUGUCAUGUAGCGGUGAAAUGCUUAGAUAUGACAUAGAACACCAAUUGCGAAGGCAGCUUACUACACAGUUAUUGACACUGAGGCACGAAAGCGUGGGGAUCAAACAGG